This 852-nucleotide ribosomal RNA is filed under the name Triticum aestivum (bread wheat). RNAcentral describes it as "partial small subunit ribosomal RNA". Lineage: Eukaryota; Viridiplantae; Streptophyta; Magnoliopsida; Poales; Poaceae. The record is from RNAcentral.
AUGUUUCGGAAAAAGCAAGCUUCUCAUUUCGAUUCAGAUGAUGCUGAGCAGAGACAAGCAAAGAUCAAGGAACUAAAAGCUGCACUUGGGCCUUUUUCUGCCCGUGGAAAGAAAUAUUGUGAUGAAGCAUGCUUGGUAAGAUAUCUCGAGGCCCGCAACUGGAAUGUUGACAAGUCUAGAAAAAUGCUGGAAGAAAGUAUCAAGUGGAGGGCCGCUAAGAGACCUGAGGAUAUUCGCUGGCCGGAUGUUUCCGUUGAAGCAGAAACGGGUAAAAUGUACAGGGCCACUUUCACAGAUAGAGAGGGGAGAACCAAUACAUCGUCUCACGAAGGGCAGUUGCAAUAUCUUGUAUAUACCUUGGAGAAUGCAGUCCUCAGCCUGCCUGAAGGUCAUGACAAAAUGGUGUGGCUGAUAGACUUCACAGGAUGGACACUGGCCCAUGCAACCCCCUUCAAGACUGCCAGAGACUGUAUGAAUGUCCUGCAAAACCAUUACCCGGAGAGGCUUUCAAUUGCGUUUCUGUUCAAUCCGCCCAAAGUAUUUGAGGCUUCUUUUAAGGUUCUCAAAGUACUGGUUGACCCGAAAUCAGCCCAGAAGCUGAACUUCGUGUACAAGGAGAAUGAAGAGAGCAUGAAGACAAUGUACAGCCACAUUGAUCCAGAAGUCCUUCCUGUGGAGUUUGGAGGGAAGAACAAUGUCGUGUACAACCAUGAGGAUUACUCUAAGUUGAUGAUAAAGGAUGACAUCAAAAGAGCAAGCUUUUGGGCAGCAGAUGUUAGCCAUGUCGUCAACGUGGACUCGGUUCCUGAGGUUAAACCGCAGUCGUCACUAAUUGUUGCUAAAGCGAGUUGA